UGGGGAAUUUUGGACAAUGGGCGAAAGCCUGAUCCAGCAAUGCCGCGUGUGUGAAGAAGGCCUUCGGUUGUAAAGCACUUUUGUCCGGAAAGAAAUCCUUGGCUCUAAUACAGUCGGGGGAUGACGGUACCGGAAGAAUAAGCACCGGCUAACUACGUGCCAGCAGCCGCGGUAAUACGUAGGGUGCAAGCGUUAAUCGGAAUUACUGGGCGUAAAGCGUGCGCAGGCGGUUUGCUAAGACCGAUGUGAAAUCCCCGGGCUCAACCUGGGAACUGCAUUGGUGACUGGCAGGCUAGAGUAUGGCAGAGGGGGGUAGAAUUCCACGUGUAGCAGUGAAAUGCGUAGAGAUGUGGAGGAAUACCGAUGGCGAAGGCAGCCCCCUGGGCCAAUACUGACGCUCAUGCACGAAAGCGUGGGGAGCAAACAGGAUUAGAUACCCUGGUAGUCCACGCCCUAAACGAUGUCAACUAGUUGUUGGGGAUUCAUUUCCUUAGUAACGUAGCUAACGCGUGAAGUUGACCGCCUGGGGAGUACGUCGCAAGAUUAAAACUUAAAGGAAUUGACGGGGUCAUAGCUGUUUCCU
Molecule: ribosomal RNA, 583 nt
Filed under: uncultured bacterium
Lineage: Bacteria
Description: partial 16S ribosomal RNA
Rfam family: Bacterial small subunit ribosomal RNA
Source: RNAcentral